RNAcentral lists this ribosomal RNA (253 nucleotides) under uncultured bacterium. RNAcentral's name for it is "partial 16S ribosomal RNA". It matches the Rfam family "Bacterial small subunit ribosomal RNA", at positions 524 to 776 of the family's 1533-position model. The record is from RNAcentral.
UACAGAGGGUGCAAGCGUUGUUCCGAAUUAUUUGGCGUAAAGCGCGUGUAGGCGGCUUUGCAAGUCGGGUGUGAAAGCCCUCAGCUCAACUGAGGAAGUGCGCCCGAAACUGCAGAGCUUGAGUGCCGGAGAGGGUGGCGGAAUUCCCCAAGUAGAGGUGAAAUUCGUAGAUAUGGGGAGGAACACCGGUGGCGAAGGCGGCCACCUGGACGGUAACUGACGCUGAGACGCGAAAGCGUGGGGAGCAAACAGG